AAACAUAGCUUUAUGAAUUACAUAUAAAGUGAAACCUGCCCACUGAUUAUAAUUUAACGGCCGCAGUACCUUGACUGUGCUAAGGUAGCAUAAUAAAUUGACUUUUAAUUGAGGCCUUGAAUGAAAGGAUAAAUGGAUAAUUUCUGUCUUUAAUAAAUUACUUAUAAAUUAUUUAAAAGGUGAAAAUCCCUUUAAUAAAAUAUAAUAGACGAGAAGACCCUAGGAGUUUUAAUUUUGUUGGGGCGACAGUAUAGCAUUAAAUUAACCUAUAUAUAAUUAAUUUAAUAUUAAACGAAUAAUUUUAAUAAUAAAUAAACUACCCUAGGGAUAACAGCAUAAUUUUAAGUAAAGUUUGUGACCUCGAUGUUGGACUAGGAACUUUUAAAGCUAACAGCGUUAAUUGGUAGUUCUGUUCGA
Molecule: ribosomal RNA, 417 nt
Filed under: Thularion semoni
Lineage: Eukaryota; Metazoa; Mollusca; Gastropoda; Stylommatophora; Helicarionidae
Description: partial 16S ribosomal RNA
Rfam family: Bacterial large subunit ribosomal RNA
Source: RNAcentral